This 465-nucleotide ribosomal RNA is filed under the name Vreelandella stevensii. RNAcentral describes it as "partial 16S ribosomal RNA". It matches the Rfam family "Bacterial small subunit ribosomal RNA", at positions 338 to 795 of the family's 1533-position model. Lineage: Bacteria; Pseudomonadati; Pseudomonadota; Gammaproteobacteria; Oceanospirillales; Halomonadaceae. The record is from RNAcentral.
CCUACGGGAGGCUGCAGUGGGGAAUAUUGGACAAUGGGCGAAAGCCUGAUCCAGCCAUGCCGCGUGUGUGAAGAAGGCCUUCGGGUUGUAAAGCACUUUCAGUGGGGAAGAAAGCCUUGGGGCUAAUACCCUCGAGGAAGGACAUCACCCACAGAAGAAGCACCGGCUAACUCCGUGCCAGCAGCCGCGGUAAUACGGAGGGUGCGAGCGUUAAUCGGAAUUACUGGGCGUAAAGCGCGCGUAGGCGGUCUGAUAAGCCGGUUGUGAAAGCCCCGGGCUCAACCUGGGAACGGCAUCCGGAACUGUCAGGCUAGAGUACAGGAGAGGAAGGUAGAAUUCCCGGUGUAGCGGUGAAAUGCGUAGAGAUCGGGAGGAAUACCAGUGGCGAAGGCGGCCUUCUGGACUGACACUGACGCUGAGGUGCGAAAGCGUGGGUAGCAAACAGGAUUAGAUACCCUUGUAGUC